UGGGGUAGCUCAGUCGGUAGAGCAUCUCCAUGGUAAGGAGAAGGUCGUGGGUUCGAUUCCCACUCCC
RNAcentral lists this transfer RNA (67 nucleotides) under human gut metagenome. It matches the Rfam family "tRNA". Rfam says of the family: Transfer RNA (tRNA) molecules are approximately 80 nucleotides in length. RNAcentral also lists the same sequence under 1 other name. The record is from RNAcentral.